Long non-coding RNA from Gymnodraco acuticeps, 474 nucleotides. RefSeq lists it as uncharacterized. The record is from RefSeq and is a predicted model, not a curated record. NCBI's taxonomy places the organism in Eukaryota, Metazoa, Chordata, Actinopteri, Perciformes, Bathydraconidae. The transcript is spliced from 3 exons.
CUGGGAUCUUACUCUGACGGACCUGUCACGGUGAGACCUCAAGAAGGAGUCCAAAGCGCUUUGUGAAAAGAACGGUUCACCGGGAACAUCGGGCCAGACCCUGCUCUGGCCAUAUCCAAACGAUCUGCGCGGAGUACGGACUAGGUCCUGUGGACUCCAACAGCUUGGUGACCCCGACGUGAUGGUCAGAGCAGGAGGAAUUGGACACCGGUGACCUUCUGAGAGUAGACGGAAUAAAACUUCGGCUUAUCAAAAAUCCCCAAAACACAGCUAAACCCGGGUAGGACACAGAACCAAGAGUUCGCUGACGAAUCCACAGAAACACGAGCCAAGGGACAUACCGAAGAAGCUGAGGGUGGCAGAGACGUGGAGUACAUCCGACUGAAGACGGUCAAACCCAAGUGGUGUGCCCCACGCUUCACCGGACCCCACAAGGUAACCCAGAGAACAGACCACACUGUGCGACUAGAAGGA